RNAcentral lists this ribosomal RNA (254 nucleotides) under uncultured bacterium. RNAcentral describes it as "partial 16S ribosomal RNA". It matches the Rfam family "Bacterial small subunit ribosomal RNA", at positions 524 to 776 of the family's 1533-position model. The record is from RNAcentral.
UACGUAGGGUGCAAGCGUUGUCCGGAAUUAUUGGGCGUAAAGAGCUCGUAGGCGGUUUGUCGCGUCGGCUGUGAAAACUCGGGGCUCAACCCCGAGCCUGCAGUCGAUACGGGCAGACUAGAGUGCUGUAGGGGAGACUGGAAUUCCUGGUGUAGCGGUGAAAUGCGCAGAUAUCAGGAGGAACACCGGUGGCGAAGGCGGGUCUCUGGGCAGUAACUGACGCUGAGGAGGCGAAAGCGUGGGGAGCGAACAGG